This 204-nucleotide small RNA is filed under the name Drosophila ananassae. Its description in RNAcentral is "GF26558". The record is from RNAcentral. Lineage: Eukaryota; Metazoa; Arthropoda; Insecta; Diptera; Drosophilidae.
UUAGAAUCGUCGGUCUGCAUCGGUUACGGUUACAUUGGACCGAGCUACUAAGUAGCUUGAAAAACUUAUUGUGCUUUGUAUACCAAAGUGGAUUAUUUGAAGGGGACGGAUAUUUCCACGGCAAUAGAUCGGACCAGUCCAAAAUUAAUUUAUUCAGUUUCGUGAAGUCAGCCUUACAAAAGAAACGAACCUAUGAGAUUUAAG